This 155-nucleotide ribosomal RNA is filed under the name Vicia glauca. Its description in RNAcentral is "5.8S ribosomal RNA". The stretch from base 1 to 139 matches the Rfam family "5.8S ribosomal RNA", at positions 18 to 154 of the family's 154-position model. From Rfam's summary of the family: 5.8S ribosomal RNA (5.8S rRNA) is a component of the large subunit of the eukaryotic ribosome. It is transcribed by RNA polymerase I as part of the 45S precursor that also contains 18S and 28S rRNA. Lineage: Eukaryota; Viridiplantae; Streptophyta; Magnoliopsida; Fabales; Fabaceae. RNAcentral also lists the same sequence under 1 other name. The record is from RNAcentral.
AUCUAGGCUCUUGCAUCGAUGAAGAACGUAGCGAAAUGCGAUACUUGGUGUGAAUUGCAGAAUCCCGUGAACCAUCGAGUCUUUGAACGCAAGUUGCGCCCGAUGCCAUUAGGUUGAGGGCACGUCUGCCUGGGUGUCACAUGUCGAAGCCUCCU